UAAACAUGUCUUGAACUGCUCAGCUAGAGGUUGAGAGAGGUAGCUGGAAUUCCCAGUGUAGGAGUGAAAUCCGUAGAUAUUGGGAGGAACACCGAUGGCGUAGGCAGGCUACUGGCUCAUACCUGACGCUCAGGCACGAAAGCGUGGGGAGCGACCGGGAUUAGAUACCCCGUUAGUCCACGCCGUAAACUAUGGAUGCUAGCUGUGUUCAGUAUCGACCCUGGACGUAGCGAAGCUAACGCGUUAAGCAUCCCGCCUGUGGAGUACGGUCGCAAGACUAAAACAUAAAGGAAUUGACGGGGACCCGCACAAGCGGUGGAGCGUGUUCUUUAAUUCGAGGGUAAGCGAAGAACCUUACCAGGGCUUGACAUCCCGAGAAUUUCUCCGAAAGGAGAGAGUGCCGUUUGGAAUUCGGUGACAGGUGAUGCAUGGCCGUCGUCAGCUCGUGUCGUGAGAUGUUUGGUUAAGUCCAUUAACGAGCGCAACCCUUAUAGUUAGUUGGAUUUUUCUAGCUAGACUGCCCCGGUAACGGGGAGGAAGGAGGGGAUGAUGUCAGGUCAGUAUUUCCCUUACGUCCUGGGCUAGAAACACGCUACAAUGGCCGGUACAAAGGGCAGCCAAGUCGCGAGACGGAGCAAAUCCCAUCAAAGCCGGUCUCAGUUCGGAUUGCAGGCUGAAACUCGCCUGCAUGAAGCCGGAAUCGCUAGUAACGGUAGGUCAGCACACUACCGUGAAUACGUUCCCGGGUCUUGUACACACCGCCCGUCAAACCAUGAAAGUCGCCAAUACCUGACGUCCUAGCUAGUCUAGGCCUAAGGUAGGGGAGAUGAUUGGGGUUAAGUCGUAACAAGGUAACCGUA
Molecule: ribosomal RNA, 860 nt
Filed under: uncultured bacterium
Lineage: Bacteria
Description: bacterial SSU rRNA
Rfam family: Bacterial small subunit ribosomal RNA
Source: RNAcentral